GACGAACGCUGGCGGCGUGCUUAACACAUGCAAGUCGAACGGAAAGGCCCUGCUUUUGUGGGGUGCUCGAGUGGCGAACGGGUGAGUAACACGUGAGUAACCUGCCCUUGACUUUGGGAUAACUUCAGGAAACUGGGGCGAAUACCGGAUAUGAGCUCCUGCCGCAUGGUGGGGGUGGGAAAGUUUCGGCGGUUGGGGAUGGACUCGCGGCAUAUCAGCUUGUUGGUGGGGUAGUGGCUUACCAAGGCUUUGACGGGUAGCCGGUCUGAGAGGGUGACCGGCCACAUUGGGACUGAGAUACGGCCCAGACUCCUACGGGAGGCAGCAGUGGGGAAUAUUGCACAAUGGGCGGAAGCCUGAUGCAGCAACGCCGCGUGCGGGAUGACGGCCUUCGGGUUGUAAACCGCUUUCGCCUGUGACGAAGCGUGAGUGACGGUAAUGGGUAAAGAAGCACCGGCUAACUACGUG
This 468-nucleotide ribosomal RNA is filed under the name uncultured bacterium. RNAcentral's name for it is "partial 16S ribosomal RNA". It matches the Rfam family "Bacterial small subunit ribosomal RNA", at positions 28 to 507 of the family's 1533-position model. The record is from RNAcentral.